UUGACUUAUUUGUUUUUUACUCGGAGACGCCGCUAUAAUACAUGAGAGUUUGUGACCUCCGGCGGGCGCCCCUCGCCCCGGAGGGCGUGGGCUGCGGUCCCCCGGGGGGUCCCGCGCCGCCGAAGCAACCUGGAUACGUUCGCGAUGGUUUGAAGUUGCCUUUCGGCUUCCUGUAAUGAUCCCUCCGCUGGUUCACCAACGGAGA
RNAcentral lists this unclassified non-coding RNA (205 nucleotides) under uncultured fungus. RNAcentral describes it as "sequence contains ITS1". Lineage: Eukaryota; Fungi. The record is from RNAcentral.